This 253-nucleotide ribosomal RNA is filed under the name uncultured bacterium. RNAcentral describes it as "partial 16S ribosomal RNA". It matches the Rfam family "Bacterial small subunit ribosomal RNA", at positions 524 to 776 of the family's 1533-position model. The record is from RNAcentral.
UACGUAGGGUGCAAGCGUUGUCCGGAAUUAUUGGGCGUAAAGAGCUCGUAGGCGGCUUGUCGCGUCGUCCGUGAAAACCUGCGAGCUCACUGCAGGCUUGCGGUCGAUACGGGCAGGCUAGAGUUCGGUAGGGGAGACUGGAAUUCCUGGUGUAGCGGUGAAAUGCGCAGAUAUCAGGAGGAACACCGGUGGCGAAGGCGGGUCUCUGGGCCGAUACUGACGCUGAGGAGCGAAAGCGUGGGGAGCGAACAGG